UGGAGCCAGAUGUCUUAAAAGAGAUGAUGUGCUUCAUCUACACAGGCAAGGCCCCCAACCUGGACAAGAUGGCUGUGACCUGCUGGCUGCAGCUGACAAGUAUACGCUCCAGAGAGGCUGAAGGUGAUGUGUGAGGACGUUCCAAGCACCAGGCACAGAGAUCCUCCUCCUCGCCGACCAAGACGCUCGCCACGAGGUUAAUCAACAUAUGUACCUACUGACGCUGAUCAUGGGGGACCCACACCUUCACUCCUCAGCGUGACUCCACUCACAAACAUCUCAGCAGCCCGCCCAGAAUACCUGACACUCGUC
Non-coding RNA from Labrus bergylta (ballan wrasse), 312 nucleotides. The record is from RefSeq and is a predicted model, not a curated record. Lineage: Eukaryota; Metazoa; Chordata; Actinopteri; Labriformes; Labridae.